RNAcentral lists this transfer RNA (52 nucleotides) under Fusarium pseudograminearum CS3220. RNAcentral's name for it is "tRNA-Pro". RNAcentral also lists the same sequence under 4 other names. The record is from RNAcentral. Lineage: Eukaryota; Fungi; Ascomycota; Sordariomycetes; Hypocreales; Nectriaceae.
CGAAGUGUACCCAUCCUUCGGAGGGAUACACUUCGUUAGGGAUACACUUCGU